This 485-nucleotide ribosomal RNA is filed under the name uncultured bacterium. Its description in RNAcentral is "partial 16S ribosomal RNA". It matches the Rfam family "Bacterial small subunit ribosomal RNA", at positions 30 to 507 of the family's 1533-position model. The record is from RNAcentral.
UUGAACGCUGGCGGCAUGCCUUACACAUGCAAGUCGAACGGCAGCACGGGUGCUUGCACCUGGUGGCGAGUGGCGAACGGGUGAGUAAUACAUCGGAACAUGUCCUGUAGUGGGGGAUAGCCCGGCGAAAGCCGGAUUAAUACCGCAUACGAUCUACGGAUGAAAGCGGGGGACCUUCGGGCCUCGCGCUAUAGGGUUGGCCGAUGGCUGAUUAGCUAGUUGGUGGGGUAAAGGCCUACCAAGGCGACGAUCAGUAGCUGGUCUGAGAGGACGACCAGCCACACUGGGACUGAGACACGGCCCAGACUCCUACGGGAGGCAGCAGUGGGGAAUUUUGGACAAUGGGCGAAAGCCUGAUCCAGCAAUGCCGCGUGUGUGAAGGAGGCCUUCGGGUUGUAAAGCACUUUUGUCCGGAAAGAAAUCCUUGGCCCUAAUACGGUCGGGGGAUGACAGUACCGGAAGAAUAAGCACCGGCUAACUACGUG